RNAcentral lists this ribosomal RNA (440 nucleotides) under uncultured bacterium. Its description in RNAcentral is "partial 16S ribosomal RNA". It matches the Rfam family "Bacterial small subunit ribosomal RNA", at positions 338 to 795 of the family's 1533-position model. The record is from RNAcentral.
CCUACGGGAGGCAGCAGUAAGGGAUAUUGGUCACUGGGGGAAACCCUGAACCAGCAACGCCGCGUGAGGGAAGACGGUUUUCGGAUUGUAAACCUCUGUCCUCUGUGAAGAUGAUGACGGUUGCAGAGGAGGAAGCUCCGGCUAACUACGUGCCAGCAGCCGCGGUAAUACGUCGGGAGAGAUCGUUGUCCGGUUUUACUGGGGGUAGAGGGUGCGUAGGCGGCUUGGCAAGUAAGCUGUGAAAUCCAUGGGCUUAACCCGUGAACUGCUAUUGAAACUGGCGAGCUGGAGUGAAGUAGAGGUGGGCGGAAUUCCGGGGGUAGCGGUGAAAUGCGUAGAGAUCGGGAGGAAUACCAGAGGCGAAGGCGGCCUCCUGGGCUUUAACUGACGCUGAUGUACGAAAGCGUGGGUAGCAAACAGGAUUAGAUACCCGUGUAGUC